CAACCCUCAAGUUUAUACUUGGUAUUGGAGCUAUCUAUAGUAAAAAAUAGCUAUAGGCUCUGAAAGAAAUUGGCAGGUGUUUAGUAAACCCGAAUGUAGUAAAAUACUUUUCGUUCAGGGAGUUGCUGACUUCUAGCCGUUAAACUCCCUACUUUUUUAA
RNAcentral lists this unclassified non-coding RNA (160 nucleotides) under uncultured Ascomycota. RNAcentral describes it as "sequence contains ITS2". Lineage: Eukaryota; Fungi; Ascomycota. The record is from RNAcentral.